AAUUUUCAAUUUCCAUAAGAAAUAAACGACACCUUUACAUCCCCCGCCCCCCAUUUUUAUGUAUGAUCAUAUAUGCAUAAUUGCAUAUAUUCUUCAAGCAACACUUAUGAUGCUGUCACCACCAGACAUGGCCUGAAAAGCUGAAGAUUGGGACGUUGUCGACGCCGUCGGCGACUGCUCCUCUGAUGAAGGAGUAGAGAGCUUCAGUGACAGUGGUACCAGUUCGUUGUUGGGACUCUUCUGGUUCAAGUUGAGAUCAGCCAUUUUUGAAGAUGGAGGAACCGGGAUGAUUGGUAUUGGACGAAGGAGCUUCGGUGACUUACUGAGUUUGGAGCUGCUUGAUCCUAAUGAGAGCUUAUCCACAGAGUUGUCGCCGGUGACCGGUAACGCUACAGGGCGAAGCGAUACUGGGAAAUUUGACAUGGGAAAUCCUCCAAUAUUAUUGCACAAGAGUGGCUGUGGUGGCAGCGGUAGAGCCGCAGUUUCUUGGUGGACUUGCUCUUCUUCCAUUGAUGAACCCAAGAAUGUAUCAGUGGUGAUAUCAAAUAGACUAGAUCGGCGGCGGCGACGAUUGUGGUUGUUUCGCCGGAGAAAGUACUUUUGAGCAUGACUAGCCACCUGGGUAGGCGUACGUGUCUUCACAAAGUUUCUUGAAAUUCCUCUCCAAUCUCCUUUCCC
RNAcentral lists this unclassified non-coding RNA (678 nucleotides) under Hevea brasiliensis (rubber tree). Lineage: Eukaryota; Viridiplantae; Streptophyta; Magnoliopsida; Malpighiales; Euphorbiaceae. The record is from RNAcentral.